AUUGAACGCUGGCGGCAUGCCUUACACAUGCAAGUCGAACGGUAACAGGUCUUCGGAUGCUGACGAGUGGCGAACGGGUGAGUAAUACAUCGGAACGUGCCUAGUAGUGGGGGAUAACUACUCGAAAGAGUGGCUAAUACCGCAUGAGAUCUACGGAUGAAAGCAGGGGAUCGCAAGACCUUGUGCUACUAGAGCGGCCGAUGGCAGAUUAGGUAGUUGGUGGGAUAAAAGCUUACCAAGCCGACGAUCUGUAGCUGGUCUGAGAGGACGAUCAGCCACACUGGGACUGAGAAACGGCCCAGACUCCGACGGGAGGCAGCAGUGGGGAAUUUUGGACAAUGGGCGAAAGCCUGAUCCAGCAAUGCCGCGUGCAGGAUGAAGGCCUUCGGGUUGUAAACUGCAUUUGUACGGAACGAAAAGCCCUGGGUUAAUACCCUGGGGUCAUGACGGUACCGUAAGAAUAAGCACCGGCUAACUACGUGCCAGCCGCCGCCGUAA
Molecule: ribosomal RNA, 498 nt
Filed under: uncultured bacterium
Lineage: Bacteria
Description: partial 16S ribosomal RNA
Rfam family: Bacterial small subunit ribosomal RNA
Source: RNAcentral